RNAcentral lists this ribosomal RNA (497 nucleotides) under uncultured bacterium. Its description in RNAcentral is "partial 16S ribosomal RNA". It matches the Rfam family "Bacterial small subunit ribosomal RNA", at positions 28 to 507 of the family's 1533-position model. The record is from RNAcentral.
GAUGAACGCUGGCGGCGUGCCUAAUACAUGCAAGUCGAGCGAACAGAUGAGGAGCUUGCUCCUCUGACGUUAGCGGCGGACGGGUGAGUAACACGUGGAUAACCUACCUAUAAGACUGGGAUAACUUCGGGAAACCGGAGCUAAUACCGGAUAAUAUAUUGAACCGCAUGGUUCAAUAGUGAAAGACGGUUUUGCUGUCACUUAUAGAUGGGUCCGCGCCGCAUUAGCUAGUUGGUAAGGUAACGGCUUACCAAGGCAACGAUGCGUAGCCGACCUGAGAGGGUGAUCGGCCACACUGGAACUGAGACACGGUCCAGACUCCUACGGGAGGCAGCAGUAGGGAAUCUUCCGCAAAGGGCGAAAGCCUGACGGAGCAACGCCGCGUGAGUGAUGAAGGUCUUCGGAUCGUAAAACUCUGUUAUUAGGGAAGAACAAAUGUGUAAGUAACUAUGCACGUCUUGACGGUACCUAAUCAGAAAGCCACGGCUAACUACGUG